CUCGUUCUGCUCACAGACUUGUCUUCUUUGCCCUGUAAAUGCCUUUUAAUUGGUGUGCACUAUCGCCAAUUUUACUCGCAAAAACCCUAACUCGAUCUACUACUUCUAACUUGACUCACUGUGUUCCCCUUCUCAACUCUUCAUAGCAAUGAGCCGAAUUAGGAGAAUCGAGAUCCCCGAACCUUACUACCCCUCCAUCUAUGUUAGCGAAGUCUCCAUUUUCACUCCCAAGAUACCAGCUUUUCCCUCAUUUGUAAUUGAAGAGGAACCCGAUGAUCACAGUGUUGCUCUUGAUCUUUUAAGCCCCAAGCCCAACCCCUUUGAGCUCUUCGACUCGGUGUCGAAUCUAAUCCAAAUUGAGAAAGCGCCGUCUUUUUGCUCCUACAAGAGGAUCCAGACACGAGGCGGGACCGAAAUGUGCUUGCAGACCCUAUGUGGUCGAGUCAGCAGUCUUGAGUCAAGGUUUGACAGCUUGAUCA
Molecule: unclassified non-coding RNA, 479 nt
Filed under: Hevea brasiliensis (rubber tree)
Lineage: Eukaryota; Viridiplantae; Streptophyta; Magnoliopsida; Malpighiales; Euphorbiaceae
Source: RNAcentral